RNAcentral lists this ribosomal RNA (225 nucleotides) under Campylobacter jejuni subsp. jejuni 81-176-DRH212. Its description in RNAcentral is "partial 16S ribosomal RNA". It matches the Rfam family "Bacterial small subunit ribosomal RNA", at positions 1 to 225 of the family's 1533-position model. Lineage: Bacteria; Pseudomonadati; Campylobacterota; Epsilonproteobacteria; Campylobacterales; Campylobacteraceae. The record is from RNAcentral.
UUUUAUGGAGAGUUUGAUCCUGGCUCAGAGUGAACGCUGGCGGCGUGCCUAAUACAUGCAAGUCGAACGAUGAAGCUUUUAGCUUGCUAGAAGUGGAUUAGUGGCGCACGGGUGAGUAAGGUAUAGUUAAUCUGCCCUACACAAGAGGACAACAGUUGGAAACGACUGCUAAUACUCUAUACUCCUGCUUAACACAAGUUGAGUAGAAGGUUUUACUGUGUAGGA